Molecule: non-coding RNA, 32 nt
Filed under: Homo sapiens (human)
Lineage: Eukaryota; Metazoa; Chordata; Mammalia; Primates; Hominidae
Source: RNAcentral
UGAGUGACCAUUUAGUCCAACCUGAGGACUGU